RNAcentral lists this transfer RNA (65 nucleotides) under Teredo bartschi. RNAcentral's name for it is "tRNA-Asp". The record is from RNAcentral. Lineage: Eukaryota; Metazoa; Mollusca; Bivalvia; Myida; Teredinidae.
UGAGGGGUAGUUUAAGCAGAAUGUAGGAUUGUCAAUCUUAUGGUGUCGCGUUGAGACCCUCUUAG